CCUACGGGCGGCAGCAGUGGGGAAUAUUGGACAAUGGGGGGAACCCUGAUCCAGCCAUGCCGCGUGUGUGAAGAAGGCCCUCGGGUUGUAAAGCACUUUCAGUGAGGAAGAACGCCUGGUGGUUAAUACCCAUCAGGAAAGACAUCACUCACAGAAGAAGCACCGGCUAACUCCGUGCCAGCAGCCGCGGUAAUACGGAGGGUGCGAGCGUUAAUCGGAAUUACUGGGCGUAAAGCGCGCGUAGGUGGCUUGAUAAGCCGGUUGUGAAAGCCCCGGGCUCAACCUGGGAACGGCAUCCGGAACUGUCAAGCUAGAGUGCAGGAGAGGAAGGUAGAAUUCCCGGUGUAGCGGUGAAACGCGUAGAGAUCGGGAGGAAUACCAGUGGCGAAGGCGGCCUUCUGGACUGACACUGACACUGAGGUGCGAAAGCGUGGGUAGCAAACAGGAUUAGAUACCCGAGUAGUC
This 465-nucleotide ribosomal RNA is filed under the name Vreelandella stevensii. RNAcentral describes it as "partial 16S ribosomal RNA". It matches the Rfam family "Bacterial small subunit ribosomal RNA", at positions 338 to 795 of the family's 1533-position model. Lineage: Bacteria; Pseudomonadati; Pseudomonadota; Gammaproteobacteria; Oceanospirillales; Halomonadaceae. The record is from RNAcentral.